UGGGGAAUAUUGGGCAAUGGGCGCAAGCCUGACCCAGCAAUGCCGCGUGGGUGAAGAAGGUCUUCGGAUUGUAAAGCCCUUUCGGCGGGGACGAUGGUGACGGUACCCGCAGAAGAAGCCCCGGCCAACUUCGUGCCAGCAGCCGCGGUAAUACGAAGGGGGCUAGCGUUGCUCGGAAUCACUGGGCGUAAAGGGCGCGUAGGCGGCGCUUCUAGUCGGGCGUGAAAUCCCCGGGCUCAACCCGGGGGCUGCGCCCGAUACGGGGGCGCUCGAGGCGGGGAGAGGGCCGCGGAAUUCCCAGUGUAGAGGUGAAAUUCGUAGAUAUUGGGAAGAACACCGGUGGCGAAGGCGGCGGCCUGGCCCCGAUCUGACGCUGAGGCGCGACAGCGUGGGGAGCAAA
This 400-nucleotide ribosomal RNA is filed under the name uncultured bacterium. RNAcentral's name for it is "bacterial SSU rRNA". It matches the Rfam family "Bacterial small subunit ribosomal RNA", at positions 355 to 772 of the family's 1533-position model. The record is from RNAcentral.